GACGAACGCUGGCGGCGUGCUUAACAAAUGCAAGUCGAACGGAAAGGCCCUGCUUUUGUGGGGUGCUCGAGUGGCGAACGGGUGAGUCACACGUGCGACACCUGCCCUUGACUUUGGGAUAACUUCCGGACACUGGGGCUAAUACCGGAUAGGAGCUCCUGCUGCAUGGUGGGGGUUGGAAAGCUUCGGCGGUUGGGGCUGGACUCGCGGCUUAUCAGCUUGUUGGUGGGGUAGUGGCUUAACAAGGCUCUGACGGGUCGCCGGCCUGAGAGGGUGACCGGCCACAUUGGGACGGAGGUACGGCCCAGACCCCUCCGGGAGGCAGCAGUGGGGAAUGUUGCACAAGGGGCGGAAGCCUGAUGCAGCAACGCCGCGUGCGGGAUAACGGCCGUCGGGUUGGAAAGCGGUUUCGCCUGUGAUGAAGCGUGAGUGACGGUAAGGGGUAAAGAAGCACCGGCUAACUACGUG
RNAcentral lists this ribosomal RNA (468 nucleotides) under uncultured bacterium. Its description in RNAcentral is "partial 16S ribosomal RNA". It matches the Rfam family "Bacterial small subunit ribosomal RNA", at positions 28 to 507 of the family's 1533-position model. The record is from RNAcentral.